UGGGUGACCACGUCUGCGUGUUUUGUGCUGGAUAUUUUAUGCAACGUCAGUCUCACUUGUCCUGGUGCAGCUGGACACUCAGUAGAUCCUCUUUCUUUCUGUUGCUUCACCAUCCGGUGCUUCCUGGUAGCAGGAGCCGAAGAACAGGCUGUUACCAAGCCAGAGGUGGUUUCUGGACACAUGCACUCCGCACACAGCAUGCAGAAGUGCCUCCCAGCCUCCCCUGCAGAGGGGAGAGCUUGUUGGAGCACAGCCUUUGCCGACUCCCCGACAGAAGCGCAACGGCUGCUCCCUGGCUGGCACCUGCCAGUCAGCCGGUCUGUCCCUGCAGAGGCUGGCCAGGAGCAGAGAUAAGCAUUCUUUGGGUUUUCUAUCGUUUGCUUUUCCUCUGCCUUACAUAAGCAUCUGUGAGGUAAUUAAAUCCAUGUUUCAGCCUCUCUCUUGAGUGGCAAGCAGACACAUAUGGAGUAACACGUGUGCUACGUACCACCAGCUGCAGCUCCUGUCGCAGCUGCUAAAUCCAGCAUGUGCCAUUCUCUGCCGCUUGCACGCCGCCGGCACGCCGCUCCCCACCGCACAUGGAGCCCCAGGGACCCUCUUGAGGCUGUGGGUACACGUGCGGAGCUGCGCCUCUCCCCUUCAGCUCCUCCUGCAACUGAGAUCCCACGCUGCCGCCUCCACCGCCCUCAAAGCCUGUGCUGGCCCCACUUGCUUGGAUGCUCAAGGUACGUUCUCCUCAAGUAGGCUCCACCAAGCCGCUGACUGCUUUUGCACCCAGCUGAGGAAUGCCGGUCUGUUCCCUACCCCUCUCCCAGGCCGCCAUCCUCCCUCCCCACCUCCCUCCUUCCCUCGCUGAGCUGUGUGCCUGCAUGGCCGUGAGCCACAAAUACAAGUUUGGUCUCACUAAUUUUGUGACCCAGCAGCACAGGUAAGUUCACGCUUUGGUGAUGCUAUAUUUAAACUAUGUUCUUCCUAAAGCUGGAAUCACCUUGGUAGAGGUUCACCUGUGUGAAGUCGUCUUGGUUCUCGACACUCCACCCUGAAACUGAGGUGAUACUGUAGCACCUGAGAACAAGAUACUUUCUUCUGGUUUUGUCUUUUUUCAAUCCUUUUAACAUUGCUGACUUUCUUUAUCCUUUCUCCUGCCCUGUUUGGGACCAUGUGCCCUCAGGAGCGCUUUAUACACGUGAAGGCCGGGGAUGGAUUAACUGUUGUCAUCUACUUUAUUUAGCUGGCUGUGCCAACUGCAAAGCAGCUGGGUAGGUCCUGUCCUAAUGUACUGAAGGAAAUGGUGACUCAGGCCCAUGUUCCAGGCCUGUGUGAGAACUGCUGGGCAGGAAAAUGGAAAAGGUUGAAGAAGGGACUGAAAUCACGUCAAUUGUGCUGGGUUUAGACUUGGAAAGUAUGUGAUUGAUAGCGCUUGUGAACAUGUUUCCAUUGCAACCGGUUUCUAGCGUAGCGUGAGGUGACCUGAGAUGGCACGUGCAAGAGGAAGCCACUAGGUAAAGAAGCAUCUCCAGAAACGCCUGUCAGUGCUUUGCAAAUGAGGGUGGUUGUCUCCCCCUCUGACAAGGUGAGUGCUCUUCCCCAGGCCAGUCAUCAGGCCAGUGGUAGAGCUGCCAGAAGCUGGAGCUGCGCCCACAGCCAGCUGCUUCACCUGGGCUGGCGAGUCAUGACGUGGGGAGAGGAAGCCUGCAGCGAAACAUCUGUGGGGUAGGGCACUGUCCCUGUGUGUCACCAUUGUCUCAAGUGCCAUGGCUGUAUGACUGCCUCCAAGCAGUAAUUAUCUUCCUCAUGUUUGGUUUGUCAGAGGUAAGCCACCGUGGUUCCCUGUCUGUGAGUAUCAGUACAGACGUAAGCUGGGCAUAUAGCAAACACUGCAGGGUGUCAUCUCUCCACACUCACACAGCCAGCGUUCAAAUUUGGGAUGCUAACCUUUUAAAUUCACCAUCUGACCAAAAGGUGACCAGUUCCCAGACUCACAGGAUGCAAUAAAAGCCUCAGGAGAAAGAAGUUACGUGAUACCUCAUUGUCUUGUCUUAGUGACUUGAAGACGCAGUGACAGGAUGACAAGCAGCAAGCUGCCAUCCUCACCAUUCCUGAAAUGAAAAGGGGGUCCUUUUUAUUUUUGGAAGUCCACUGCGAAGAACUCAUGAGGAAGAAAAUGGUAGUUUGGUGAAGCAGUGUGUCUGUGCUUAAAAUACAGGUUGUUCACAAGCACUCACUGCUUGUUUCUUACCAGCGAUGCGAAACAUCAAGGGGGCCAACCCAGGCUGAAGAGGAUGAGCACAGCAGGGGGCUCGCCAUGUCAGGAGCUGGUGCGGGUUGCUUAGUGCACGCCUCCUGUCAGCGGUGCCUUUGAACAUUGGAAAGCUGGGGGAUACAGCCUCCAUGGGGAGAUGCAGCUGCUCAGUUGGAAGCGAGAGCCUCCACAGGAACAGGGAAAGCAUAGUUUCCCUAGUCUAUUAUCCCUGAAACAUGCAUCUGCCUUUAAUUAGCGGUAAGUUCUGUUGUUUCAAUUAGUUUUCACUCCAUCACUCAAGUCCGGAGGCAGGUAAUACUGGUAGUUACAUAGAAUAUCAUUAACCAUCUCCCUUAUGCAGCCAGCAGAUCUGGCUGCAGCAGCAGCUUCUUGUCCUUCCACUAUUACUUCUUGGAAACAGCAAUGCCAGGUUACACUUGGAACAGAAAUCCUUCAACCCACUGAAGGAGAAUUAAAUUUCUGUGCCCGCCCUCUAUAGCCAGGAGGGCUGGCUUCUAGCUAUUGUCAGCACUAGCACUGCAGAAUCAGUAAGAGCUGGAAGCUGAGAUGAGAAAGCCACUGAAUCCCCCUUUCUCAAAGGGAAAGAGGCAACAGGUGUCUUCCAGUAGAUCCAGCAGAGGCAAGCUGCUCAGCAGUGAGGUGCUUUGGGUUUUUUGUUUGGUUGGGUUUUUUUUCUUUUAAGAAAAACAAACCAAAAACCCCCAUAGGCACUAUAGCAGCAUUGCCAGCUAAGGUUUUGUUUUUUAAAAAAAUGACAAUUAAAAAAACCAUUAAAAAAGAAGGAUCAGUUUGAACUGUAAGUCAGUAAUGAAAAAGACCAACAUCAAAGUACAAAAGACUAACUUUGUCGGUUUGUUUUAUUACUGGGCACAGCACAGUACCACUUCAUAUACAUACAAGCCACAGUAAUACAAACAGUCCCUAUCCUUUUUUAUAAUAAAAAACCACAUGGUAUUUGGGAGGAGUCAAAUGUCCCAGGGGUCAGCUCUCAAGAGCUACUUUGCUGCAGGUUGCAGUAGCAGCAGUUUUCUUACUAAAUACUGUGGGUUUUCAUGCUGUUAAUAUGUGAAGCUGAAGAGUCUGAGCUUGCAGCAGUGCCUCAGCUUAGCAUGAUCAAGGCAGGCUUUUCAGUAGCUCAAAAGCUUGCAAGUAUGCUCAGUAAUGGUCCUUUGCAAUCAAACAAAAGCAUACCAGACACACACCCCAGUAUGGAAGUAGAACCCUCACAUGCUUCUACAGAAACCCAUGUUUAUCCUGAAGCACCAGAGGUUUAUCCAGUACAGGGCCAGUUAAAAUGCUACUGCAUCCAGACAGCUUUCCUGCAGGCAGCACAGACUUCCCAGGCAGGCAGGACCAUUUCUUACGGAGUCAGUUAAGUCUGUAGCAGCACAAGGUCAGUGAAGCUUGGAGAAAAGCUUCUGUCAUUAAAGCAGGCUUAGCUCCUCAGAAAACUGAUUUAAAACUAGAAGGCACAAAUGCAAGGUUGAAUGUGGGCUACAUACCACUGUGGCACAUGAGCAGUUUAGAUACCCCUCCUAAGGGGAAUACAAUGCAUAAUAAAUACAGUAUGACAUUUUAGAAAAUAAGUGCAUUACUGUGAUCCUUCACAACGUAAGGAAGUAGGAUUCACAAGAGCCUACAGAGGCCAGUUCACUUAAUAUUGCACAGAAUUCCUGAAAUUUAGUGUCAGGUCAUUGUGCUGGAGGUGGGACAUUACGGGGUGGGGGGGAAGAGAUCUUAUUUGGCAGAACCUGCCCAAGUCUCCACCACCACACAAACAGCUUUUUGCCAAUCUGAGGUAGAAUUACACAUAUACUGCUUAAACCCAGUCAAGUCCUGCUCAACUAGUCUUAAAAAAAAAAAAAAAAAAAAGAAAA
This is a long non-coding RNA of Chroicocephalus ridibundus (black-headed gull), 4140 nucleotides long. RefSeq lists it as uncharacterized. The record is from RefSeq and is a predicted model, not a curated record. The transcript has 2 exons. Lineage: Eukaryota; Metazoa; Chordata; Aves; Charadriiformes; Laridae.